UCAGGGAUAUUCCGGCGAAAGUCGGCGCAAUACUUGAUGGUCUCCCAAAUUCAUAUUUGGGAGUAAAGAUUUAUCGCUUCUUGAACGGCCUGCGGGCUAUCAGCUAGUUGGUACGGUAACGGCGUACCAAGGCUACGACGGCUAGGGGAGGUGAGAGCCUGACCCCCACCGAUGGAACUGAGACACGGUCCAUACUCCUACGGGAGGCCGCAGUCGAGAAUCUUCCGCAAUGGGCGAAAGCCUGACGGAGCGACGCCGCGUGGUGGAUGAAGUCCUUAGGGACGUAAACACCUUUUAUGAGUGAAGAAGUUUAUUGACAUUAGCUCAUGAAUAAGGGGCUCCCAACUCUGUGCCAGCAGGAGCGGUAAUACAGAGGCCUCAAGCGUUAUCCGGAUUCACUGGGCGUAAAGGGUGCGUAGGCGGUUAUAUUAGUCGGGUGUAAAAUCCUAGGGCUCAACCUUAGGCUCGCGUUCGAAACGGUAUAACUAGGAGUAGUGAGAGGUGAACAGAACUCACGGUGUAGGGGUGAAAUCCGUUGAUAUCGUGGGGAAUACCAAAUGCGAAGGCAGUUCACUGGCGCUUACUCGACGCUGAGGCACGAAAGCGUGGGUAGCGAACGGGAUUAGAUACCCCGGUAGUCCACGCCCUAAACGCUGUCCGCUGGCUUUAGGGAGAAUCGACCCUCCCUGAGGCGAAGGUAACCCGUUAAGCGGACCGCCUGGGUAGUACGAGCGCAAGCUUAAAACUCAAAGGAAUAGACGGGGGCUCGCACAAGCGGUGGAUCAUGAGGCUUAAUUCGUCGAUAAGCGAAAAACCUUACCCAGGCUAGAAACCAUACUGCACGCUCUCCGAAAGGAGAGAAUCCUUCGAGGGUGUAUGGCAGGUGAUGCAUGGCCGUCGUCAGUUCGUGGCUUGAGCUGUUCCCUUAAGUGGGGAAGAGUACGCAGCCCUCGUUGCUUGUUACAAG
RNAcentral lists this ribosomal RNA (967 nucleotides) under uncultured organism. Its description in RNAcentral is "bacterial SSU rRNA". It matches the Rfam family "Bacterial small subunit ribosomal RNA", at positions 137 to 1121 of the family's 1533-position model. The record is from RNAcentral.